RNAcentral lists this ribosomal RNA (329 nucleotides) under uncultured eukaryote. RNAcentral describes it as "partial 18S ribosomal RNA". It matches the Rfam family "Eukaryotic small subunit ribosomal RNA", at positions 1470 to 1796 of the family's 1831-position model. The record is from RNAcentral.
CCCUUAGAUGUUCUGGGCCGCACGCGCGCUACACUGACGAUGGCAACGAGUUUUUCCUUCGCCGAAAGGUGUGGGUAAUCUUUUGAAACAUCGUCGUGCUGGGGAUAGAUCAUUGCAAUUUUUGAUCUUGAACGAGGAAUUCCUAGUAAGCGCGAGUCAUCAGCUCGCGUUGAUUACGUCCCUGCCCUUUGUACACACCGCCCGUCGCUACUACCGAUUGAGUGGUUUAGUGAGGACUCCUGAUUGGCGCCGCCGCCCCGGCAACGGAGCAGCGGACUGCCGAAAAGUUGUUCAAACUUGAUCAUUUAGAGGAAGUAAAAGUCGUAACA